UGGGGAAUAUUGCGCAAUGGGCGAAAGCCUGACGCAGCGACGCCGCGUGAGGGAUGAAGGUUUUCGGAUCGUAAACCUCUGUCAGAAGGGAAGAAAGUGCGUGGUGCUAAUCAGCCGCGUAUUGACGGUACCUUCAAAGGAAGCACCGGCUAACUCCGUGCCAGCAGCCGCGGUAAUACGGAGGGUGCAAGCGUUAAUCGGAAUUACUGGGCGUAAAGCGCACGUAGGCUGUUGUGUAAGUCAGGGGUGAAAUCCCACGGCUCAACCGUGGAACUGCCCUUGAUACUGCAUGACUGGAAUCCGGGAGAGGGUGGCGGAAUUCCAGGUGUAGGAGUGAAAUCCGUAGAUAUCUGGAGGAACAUCAGUGGCGAAGGCGGCCACCUGGACCGGUAUUGACGCUGAGGUGCGAAAGCGUGGGGAGCAAACAGG
Molecule: ribosomal RNA, 429 nt
Filed under: uncultured bacterium
Lineage: Bacteria
Description: bacterial SSU rRNA
Rfam family: Bacterial small subunit ribosomal RNA
Source: RNAcentral